This is a long non-coding RNA of Lolium perenne, 2951 nucleotides long. RefSeq lists it as uncharacterized. Lineage: Eukaryota; Viridiplantae; Streptophyta; Magnoliopsida; Poales; Poaceae. The record is from RefSeq and is a predicted model, not a curated record.
GUCUCCCCCUCUUUCCACGGCCCGCACAUAGUCAUCUCCCUCAUCAAGCAAGGAGUCCCACUAUUCCCAUCGUCGUAGCCCUGGAGCCCCAUUGCUGCCGCCGCCCUGGAGUCCCACUGCCCACAUGCCAGAUCGGGAACUCCCAGCACGCCACCAUCACGAUUCCCUCCUCGGAGCACCCUACUGGCCGCCGAAGGCCCUGCGAAGGACAACUGGUGGCCGGAGCUCCCGUGACGCCUCGAAAUCUGACCGCCGGAUGGUCUUCCCCGCGCGACGCCCUGACGAGGUGCACAACUCCCGCCCUCUGCCGCUCUUCCCAGGAGUGGAGCGAAUGUGAGGAGGAGGGUCCCUGCGACCAACUAGACGCUCGCUGCCGCGAUGUCUUGACAAGAAAGGUAAUCUUGACCCCUUUAGAAUGUCCUCUGGAUCAAAAAAAUUAUGGUGGGAAUGUAAACAUGAAAAUCCAUACGCCGUGUUCAGUUGUUAUUUCCGCUCUGCUUUGUCAAUUUGGUAAUUGCACAACUAUUUCGUUAAUAAUUCCAGUACAAUAUGUUCAGCGCAAGUACCUAUAUGCAAUAUGCAAUGAGGUUUUUUUUCCCUUUGUUGAGCGAUGGUAAAUGGUUUAAGAUGUUAGCUUGGAUGGUGGUGAGCGUGCUUUGAUACUCCUGGACAGAUCAAUCAGUGUCAUCCCAACAUUUUUCACUUCAGAUAUCCGCAUCAGUUCCAUGAGAACUAGAAAUAUGAUGAAUACAUCCAAUGGCACUAUUUUUUGUGUGUAAAUUCAUUUAGGUCUGAUGUGAAUCAAAUGCUACGAGGAGUUAAAUAGAUGCAUGGAAAAAGUGAAGAAGAGUUGCAAGAUUGGGUACUCCAAGAAAUGUCCUUAUGAAUUGGCUAUGGCGACAAUGACUCAAGGGAUGGACAUGGAUAUCAUGCCAAGUUGGAACUGUGGCCUGGUAUUUCUUAGAGAUGUACUCACUAAAUUGCUUGAUUGAAGAUUGAAUUUAUUUCGUUGUACUCCACUAUAGUUUUGUACCCUUUGCAUAAUUGCAUUUAUUUUAAAUAUUCGCAAAGAUAUAAUUUUUAGGUUGCAGCAUAUAGUAUCGGAUCUCAUGUCCAUCAUUUCCAUAUAUAAAUAGAGUUCUUAUGUAAAUGAAUCAAAUUCUUCGCAUUGAGCUGGCCCUUGUCUUUGCUGACACUUGCUCACAAGCGGUGGGAAGAACGGCACUUCAUCAGUAUGGAUGACGGCGGUCGCAGCUACGGCAUCACCAUCGGAUGAGGGAAGCAGGAAGCCAGAUGUUGCCGCAUGCCAGUAUUAAUUCCGUGGACGAUGCAGCUUCGUGCCAUGCUCCUUUCUGGUAGACUGAAAAUUUUCGGAAGCUGGUUGGGGCAGAUUUUUCAGUGUUGCAUGACUCCACCUGAGUUGGAGCUAUGGCAUAUAGAAAGCACCUUGUUACAAUUAUGAAGAGAAAGUGAAGGUAACCAGCAUGAAGAGAAAGUGAAGGUAACCAGCAUUGAUAAAAAUGUCAUAUUUUCUACCAUGAAGUUUUCCAUCACAUCAGAUGUAAGGAUUUGGCAUCUGCGGUCUGGAACUUGAUUAUGGUGCUUGAAGACCGAUAUCUGGAUAGAGAAUUAUCAGGCCGGAGGACAUAGAAGAUUACCAGCAAACUGUGCCCACACGUGCUGGAUUUUCCAGAAAAUUAUGUUUUGGACCAAAAGAUAGUACUAAGCAGAGUUGGAACAAUUCAAGUAGACACUUCGGAGUUUGGGAACCAUAGUGAUCUCGGUGCAAAAAGGACGGAUGGUGUAUGUUGUUCACAUCACCAAGCUCCAGAAAAUAUAUUUGGUAGCCGGCUGCUCUUCACAUCACCAAGCCACUGCACAACACUGGUCGGUUGAUCAUCGCCAUCAUCAAUUCGGUGCAGCACGACUUUCCUCUCCGGACGGUUUCUUGGGCCGGAGCACGCAGUUAGAGGUGAGCUAGAGCAGCCUGCAGCUAGAGGCUAGAGAGGGCUUCCCAAGUCGUAGCGCACUUCAGCUAGAGGCCGGCGAGGGCCUCUAGAGCCAGAGCACACUGAAGCUAGAGAUCGGCCAAGAAAUGUCCCUUGGCCGUGGCGCUGAUUGGCAUCAGGGAUGUGCACAUUCUAUCCCCAUCCUGCCGGACCAUUGCAAGGUUGCAGGGCCAUUACUAAGUUUCCUCAUCUGUUCUUAAUUAUGGUCGAACUUCUGGGUAAAUUAUGUUCCAUGCAAGUAUCAGUUUCGGAGCUCAGCUUGAGCAACUCUUGAUUUCUUAGGCUGCUUGCUUGAUGCCUGAUUGAUCAACUGGAACAAAGGUAUGCAAAGGUUGCAUAUACAAAAAUAAAAUUUGGAACUUGGAUGCUGGCAAUGCUGAAGCCAAUGAUUGGUGUACCACCUCGCGAACUGCCUUCGGUGUCCUCAUUGACAUUGGACAAGAUGCUGUUGGUUGGCAGCUUGGCUCUUAUAUAGAAAGAUGCAAUCACCACUCACCGCUGUCAUUGUGGCAAAAAUUCAUCUCAUUCGCUUGGCUCUUGUAUAUGCACGGGCAUUUGCGGUGUCUAUUGCAAGCAGGGGGUGCGGCGGCUACGGUGACGGUGGUGAUCUAGAGGGGUGGAAGUCGGCUCGGGCGUGGGUAGGCGGUGAGGAAAUCGGUGCGUCUGGCUGCCAGGCGGAGCCCACGCUCGUGUUCUGACGUGCCGUGACGCAUCGGCGCGCCCGAUUCGCGCCCUACGCGAAGAGGCCGGUACGGGGGUGUCACUGAUUCUAUUGGGUUCGAAAACUAGCCGACGUCUUUUGGUGUGCACCGGUGCGACCCAAAAACCACGCUAGCUCCCAAAUCGCUAUCGGGGCCGCUAUGGGGGGCGCCGGUGCAGAUGCUCUAAGGGUUGUGCUAUAUUUAUGAUACAAAUAUGAAUGUGUAUGAAUGCUUGGAUAUU